UGCGUAGGCGGAAAAUUAAGUCAGUGGUGAAAUCCUGCAGCUUAACUGUAGAACUGUCAUUGAUACUGAUUUUCUUGAAUAUAGUUGAGGUAGGCGGAAUGUGUAAUGUAGCGGUGAAAUGCUUAGAUAUUACACGGAACACCGAUUGCGAAGGCAGCUUACUAAGCUAUUAUUGACGCUGAGGCACGAAAGCGUGGGGAGCGAACAGGAUUAGAUACCCUGGUAGUCC
Molecule: ribosomal RNA, 229 nt
Filed under: uncultured bacterium
Lineage: Bacteria
Description: partial 16S ribosomal RNA
Rfam family: Bacterial small subunit ribosomal RNA
Source: RNAcentral